Molecule: ribosomal RNA, 549 nt
Filed under: uncultured bacterium
Lineage: Bacteria
Description: bacterial SSU rRNA
Rfam family: Bacterial small subunit ribosomal RNA
Source: RNAcentral
GGGGAAUCUUCCGCAAUGGACGAAAGUCUGACGGAGCAACGCCGCGUGAGUGAUGACGGCCUUCGGGUUGUAAAGCUCUGUUAAUCGGGACGAAAGGCCUUCUUGCGAAUAGUUAGAAGGAUUGACGGUACCGGAAUAGAAAGCCACGGCUAACUACGUGCCAGCAGCCGCGGUAAUACGUAGGUGGCAAGCGUUGUCCGGAAUUAUUGGGCGUAAAGCGCGCGCAGGCGGAUUGGUCAGUCUGUCUUAAAAGUUCGGGGCUUAACCCCGUGAUGGGAUGGAAACUGCCAAUCUAGAGUAUCGGAGAGGAAAGUGGAAUUCCUAGUGUAGCGGUGAAGUGCGUAGAUAUUAGGAAGAACACCAGUGGCGAAGGCGACUUUCUGGACGAAAACUGACGCUGAGGCGCGAAAGCCAGGGGAGCGAACGGGAUUAGAUACCCCGGUAGUCCUGGCCGUAAACGAUGGGUACUAGGUGUAGGAGGUAUCGACCCCUUCUGUGCCGGAGUUAACGCAAUAAGUACCCCGCCUGGGGAGUACGACCGCAAGGUUG